UUCUAAGAACACAACAGUUAUGUAAUUAGGCGGUGAGAUAUAUUUUAAAUAUGACAAUUUAUUGAUAGCAUUUUUUUUAUAUCCAGCUAUAAACGCAGCACAAUGCGUACGUUCAGAUAAAUUAAUUCUACGCAUAAGACUAGUAAAUACUCGAUGUAUCUGGGGAUUGUAAAAUUUUUCCUUUCUUAAGACGUGGAGUUCUAUAAGGAAAAAGGUACUUUGAGAACAUGCCAAUUGUCGUGCGGUUUUAAAUGGUUGUUAAAUCAGGUGUACCGUGUACCUAUUUACUCAGAGCGUAAAAAUGCUAGGUACUUAUGUAGUUGUAUAUCAUUGUGUAAAUAGGAGGAAAAAAGGAAAGUUGAAUACACCUUAAAGUUUGUACACCAAUGUUUAACAUCUUGCUUCUAGCUUUAAUCCCCUUAAAUAAAAAUACCAUGCCUCCAAUAUAGACGGGUAAUUACUUAUAAGUACUACAGGUAUUUUGCCACCGUUACAGGUACAUAAUAAGUUUUAAAGGUAAGUUUGACUUAUUUAAAUCAUAUCUUUGAUCUGUAUGCAAGUAAGACGUUAUACAAUGGCGUAAAUAAAACUUAAACAAUGCAUAUGCAGCUGCGUGAUGGAAAGCAAGGACAUGACGCAAUGCCAACGUCUUUCUUAUUGCAAUUUAUUGAACAAUACAUUGUGAAGGAUUCCCCUCAAAACCAUCGCCGAAUCGCCCCCGUAAGCUCUCCAAACUACAGGAAAUCCGGUGAAUCCCAGACAGAUGUGAACCCUAGCACUUAUGUUUAAGUACGAUGAGAGUUGGAUAUUUGUCAAUUACUACAACAGCGUGGUCACUUCCACGUACCUAAGAAAAUGUAUUAAUAAAUAUGGUAAUGUGAUGACUAGAUCUUUUUCUUUGCAAAAUUAUUGCUGAACCAUAGCUAUUAUAUCAGCAUUUACAAGGGUGUUAAAGUAAUUUAUACACUUUUAUGAAGUCUUGAGUCAAUAAAACAUAGAGUGACUAGACACUUUUCAUUACGUACUGUAAUAUAGUGACCUAGUUGUAUUUAUAACGGUGUUUGUAACAGAUUAAUUUUCAAACUACCUGCGCAACGCUAUUAAAUACAAUUAUAGGUAUAUACAAUAUUAUACAACCUAUAUAGGCACCUCUGUUGCUUUUUCAUUUUAUAAUUAAUAUAAUAAUAAUGCCAGUACAAGAAAUCAGUUACAUAAUUUUACAACAUGUCAAGUUCUUUUUGUAUCCAGCCUGUAGUUAUAUUUCUUAACUUAUUCCAGUAUAUACCACUAGAAUAUUUAUUUGUGUAAAUAAAAUUGUAUAAGUCAUAAAAUAACGCAAAAUAAAACGAUCAAUGUUCAACAAUAUCGAGUUUAUUUCGGUAAUAAAACAAAUCACUAGGGAAUCACUUACAUAAAAUAUAGAAAAUUAACAUACGAACAAACUUGUAUACACUGGUUAUGUUAUAAAAUUUGCCACACGAGUGAUUAUAAUAGAACUUGCGACAGUUAAGUUAUUUUCAUUAUUUCAAAACGUUUAAGUAACUUGAACGAAAGUAGUGUUAAAUUGACUACAAAUUGCUUUUUAUUGAAUAUAUUUAGCGUGUAAAAAUUGUAUAGAGGUCCUGAAAUUGUAUGUCCUUGUAAACUGUCGAUAUGGUAUAAGAAGUUUUAAUUCACUUUGCAAGUUCUAUUAACAGGAAGGCAGAAAUACAAUCGAAUCCUAUAUUUAAAAAAAAAAAAAAAAA
Long non-coding RNA from Manduca sexta (tobacco hornworm), 1745 nucleotides. RefSeq lists it as uncharacterized. Lineage: Eukaryota; Metazoa; Arthropoda; Insecta; Lepidoptera; Sphingidae. The record is from RefSeq and is a predicted model, not a curated record. The transcript has 2 exons.